GGGUUGUAAACUGCUUUUAUACGGGAAGAAUAAGGGGUACGUGUACCCCGAUGACGGUACCGUAAGAAUAAGGACCGGCUAACUCCGUGCCAGCAGCCGCGGUAAUACGGAGGGUCCAAGCGUUAUCCGGAAUCAUUGGGUUUAAAGGGUCCGCAGGCGGGCAAUUAAGUCAGGGGUGAAAUGGUGCGGCUCAACCGUAGCACUGCCCUUGAUACUGGUUGUCUUGAGUUAUGGUGAAGUGGCCGGAAUAUGUAGUGUAGCGGUGAAAUGCAUAGAUAUUACAUAGAACACCGAUCGCGAAGGCAGGUCACUAACCAUAGACUGACGCUGAUGGACGAAAGCGUGGGGAGCGAACGGGAUUAGAUACCCCGGUAGUCCACGCCGUAAACGAUGGAUACUAGCUGUCGGGCACUUGUGUUCGGCGGCCAAGCGAAAGUGAUAAGUAUCCCACCUGGGGAGUACGUUCGCAAGAAUGAAACUCAAAGGAAUUGACGGGGGCCCGCACAAGCGGUGGAGCAUGUGGUUUAAUUCGAUGAUACGCGAGGAACCUUACCAGGGCUUAAAUGCAGAAUGACAGGGGCAGAGACGCCUUUUUCUUCGGACAUUUUGCAAGGUGCUGCAUGGUUGUCGUCAGCUCGUGCCGUGAGGUGUCAGG
This 655-nucleotide ribosomal RNA is filed under the name uncultured Flavobacteriaceae bacterium. RNAcentral's name for it is "bacterial SSU rRNA". It matches the Rfam family "Bacterial small subunit ribosomal RNA", at positions 420 to 1079 of the family's 1533-position model. Lineage: Bacteria; Pseudomonadati; Bacteroidota; Flavobacteriia; Flavobacteriales; Flavobacteriaceae. The record is from RNAcentral.